UCAAAACAAGACCAGGCAUUAUCAGCGACGUCACAAUGUGAGAGGAGAAGUUAUCAGCGACGUCACAAUGCGAGAGGAGAAGUUAUCAAGCUUGCUUUCGUCAAGCGUAAAACUGUCUUAGGGAGAAAGAAACGACCAGUAAUAGAACGAUAAAAAGAUAAUCGGGUUUUCUUCGUAUAGAUAUCGUAAAAUAUCAAUGUGUAGAAAACCCUAUAAUCUUUACAUAUACAU
This 231-nucleotide long non-coding RNA is filed under the name Mytilus galloprovincialis (Mediterranean mussel). Lineage: Eukaryota; Metazoa; Mollusca; Bivalvia; Mytilida; Mytilidae. The record is from RNAcentral.